CAGUCGCCGCGGGAAUACGUAGGUGGCAAGCGUUGUCCGGAAUUAUUGGGCGUAAAGGGCUCGCAGGCGGUUUCUUAAGUCUGAUGUGAAAGCCCCCGGCUCAACCGGGGAGGAUCAUUGGAAACUGGGAAACCUGAGUGCAGAAGAGGAGUGUGGAAUUCCACGUGUAGCGGUGAAAUGCGUAGAGAUGUGGAGGAACACCAGUGGCGAAGGCGACUCUCUGGUCUGUAACUGACGCUGAGGAGCGAAAGCGUGGGGAGCGAAUAGGAUUAGAUACCCCAGUAGUCCCUGUCUCUUAUAC
RNAcentral lists this ribosomal RNA (301 nucleotides) under uncultured bacterium. Its description in RNAcentral is "partial 16S ribosomal RNA". It matches the Rfam family "Bacterial small subunit ribosomal RNA", at positions 509 to 807 of the family's 1533-position model. The record is from RNAcentral.